RNAcentral lists this ribosomal RNA (484 nucleotides) under uncultured bacterium. Its description in RNAcentral is "partial 16S ribosomal RNA". It matches the Rfam family "Bacterial small subunit ribosomal RNA", at positions 30 to 507 of the family's 1533-position model. The record is from RNAcentral.
AUUGAACGCUGGCGGCAGGCCUAACACAUGCAAGUCGAGCGGAUGAAGGGAGCUUGCUCCUGGAUUCAGCGGCGGACGGGUGAGUAAUGCCUAGGAAUCUGCCUGGUAGUGGGGGAUAACGUCCGGAAACGGGCGCUAAUACCGCAUACGUCCUGAUGGAGAAAGUGGGGGAUCUUCGGACCUCACGCUAUCAGAUGAGCCUAGGUCGGAUUAGCUAGUUGGUGGGGUAAAGGCCUACCAAGGCGACGAUCCGUAACUGGUCUGAGAGGAUGAUCAGUCACACUGGAACUGAGACACGGUCCAGACUCCUACGGGAGGCAGCAGUGGGGAAUAUUGGACAAUGGGCGAAAGCCUGAUCCAGCAAUGCCGCGUGUGUGAAGAAGGUCUUCGGAUUGUAAAGCACUUUAAGUUGGGAGGAAGGGCAGUAAGUUAAUACCUUGCUGUUUUGACGUUACCAACAGAAUAAGCACCGGCUAACUUCGUG